AGCCCUGUGAGAAUUUUACUCCUUUCUAGAAAGAAAGGUUUGUCCCUCUGCUCCGCUGUGCCCUGCUCCCCUGCAGGACAGUCCUGCUCCCACAGGUGCAGCCUAUAAGCUCACAGGGCCAGUCUUAGUUUUGGUGAGCCUUUUCUGAAAGGAGCCCGCUAAAGGAACAACGGAGAAAGUCCUCUUUGUGAACGUGCAGUGGGCUGGGAAAUGCUGAUGGCACGCACAGUGGUGUAAUCACGGCGGCUGUGCAUGGCCACUGCCCAGGUAUGAAGGCCAGCUGGUUUAUGUCAGUCUCGGGGGUGGAGACUUUGCCCAGCUGGCAGAGGUGGGUCAGUGCCUCAGCUUAGACCUCACCUGCUUCUGAAUGGAGGAAGAGAAGGUCCAAUUGCUGAAAAGCAGACUUUCCGUGGGCCGCAGCCUCCAAACUCACAGACCUUCCUGAAGUUGCCUCUGAUAAAGCCCCGAGGGACGCUGGACACCCUGAGUCGCCAUGGGCAACGAGAACAGCACCUCAGACAACCAGAAGACUUCGUCAGCUCAGAGCCCAGGAUCCCUGCCAUCACCUGGGAACAGUCAGAAUACAAAGAAGAAGCCAGAGAAGGCCGGAAGCGCUGACCGUGGAGACUUGGCCAGGUAGGAGCCAGGUUCAGAGGACAACACAGCCCGAGGCAUGGCCAGCUCACGGCCCGCUCAGCAUGUGCUUUGCUCCAUUUGCUCUGAAAACUUUACCCUAAAACACAUGAUGUGUUCCUCAGUAGUGUGAUGUUAGGAACCGUGGUUCAGACCUUUUAGUGAAAGCCUGGA
Long non-coding RNA from Hipposideros armiger (great roundleaf bat), 807 nucleotides. RefSeq lists it as uncharacterized. The transcript is spliced from 3 exons. The record is from RefSeq and is a predicted model, not a curated record. NCBI's taxonomy places the organism in Eukaryota, Metazoa, Chordata, Mammalia, Chiroptera, Hipposideridae.